GAAAGAACAGAACGUUAGCUAGGCCAUUCAGGGAAGUAUAAAAUACUGUCUGACUGCUGCUGGCGAAUUCCACUUUAUAUCGACGUGUGAUGGUUGUCGAUAAAACACCUUCACCAUUCUGCACAAAGCUUUCGCCAAAUAUUUCCCUCAGAUGUGGUCUUCAUCGCCGUUGUACUGAAUUACUGAUACUCUAGUGGCCUUUGAGU
Long non-coding RNA from Daphnia pulex (common water flea), 206 nucleotides. RefSeq lists it as uncharacterized. NCBI's taxonomy places the organism in Eukaryota, Metazoa, Arthropoda, Branchiopoda, Diplostraca, Daphniidae. The record is from RefSeq and is a predicted model, not a curated record. The transcript has 2 exons.